CGCUCUUGACCCCUAUAAGAGUCCAGCCUGCCCAGUGAUACUAUUAAACGGCCGCGGUACCCUGACCGUGCGAAGGUAGCAUAAUAACUUGUUCUUUAAAUGGGGACUAGCAUGAACGGCAUCACGAGGGUCUCACUGUCUCCUUUUUCUAAUCAGUGAAACUGAUCUUCCCGUGAAGAAGCGGGGAUUAAACUAUAAGACGAGAAGACCCCAUGGAGCUUUAAACCCAAUAGGCACCUCUGACUAAUCUAACCCACCAUACUUCUUAAGUUCUGCCUAUUGGUUUUAGGUUGGGGUGACCACGGAGUACAACAAAUCCUCCAUGACGUACGGGACUUCCCUCUUAUCCUUGAACCACACUUCUAAGAAUCAACAAAUUGACGUUCAAUGAUCCAAUAUAUUGAUCAACGGACCAAGUUACCCUGGGGAUAACAGCGCAAUCCAUUUUAAGAGCCCCUAUCGCCAAAUGGGUUUACGACCUCGAUGUUGGAUCAGGGUAUCCUAGUGGUGCAGCCGCUACUAAUGGUUUGUUUGUUCAACAAUUAAAACC
This 550-nucleotide ribosomal RNA is filed under the name Fejervarya limnocharis (Boie's wart frog). RNAcentral's name for it is "partial 16S rRNA". It matches the Rfam family "Bacterial large subunit ribosomal RNA", at positions 1831 to 2595 of the family's 2925-position model. The record is from RNAcentral. Lineage: Eukaryota; Metazoa; Chordata; Amphibia; Anura; Dicroglossidae.